RNAcentral lists this ribosomal RNA (99 nucleotides) under uncultured bacterium. RNAcentral's name for it is "partial 16S ribosomal RNA". The record is from RNAcentral.
CACACCGCCCGUCACACCAUGGGAGUUGGUUUACCUGAACGACGGUGCGCUAACCAGCAAUGGAGGCAGCCGGCCACGGUAGGGUCAGCGACUGGGGUG